RNAcentral lists this ribosomal RNA (274 nucleotides) under uncultured bacterium. RNAcentral's name for it is "partial 16S ribosomal RNA". It matches the Rfam family "Archaeal small subunit ribosomal RNA", at positions 473 to 747 of the family's 1478-position model. The record is from RNAcentral.
AAACCAGCACCUCAAGUGGUCAGGAGGAUUAUUGGGCCUAAAGCAUCCGUAGCCUGCUCUGUAAGUUUCCGGUUAAAUCCAUUAGCUCAACUAAUGGCCUGCCGGAAAUACUGUAGAGCUAGGAAGUGGGAGAGGUAGACGGUACUCGGUAGGAAGGGGUAAAAUCCUUUGAUCUAUUGAUGACCACCUGUGGCGAAGGCGGUCUACCAGAACACGUUCGACGGUGAGGGAUGAAAGCUGGGGGAGCAAACCGGAUUAGAAACCCCUGUAGUCC